Lingula anatina is the source of this 792-nucleotide long non-coding RNA. RefSeq lists it as uncharacterized. NCBI's taxonomy places the organism in Eukaryota, Metazoa, Brachiopoda, Lingulata, Lingulida, Lingulidae. The record is from RefSeq and is a predicted model, not a curated record.
UUCAAAGCGAGGCCCUACAUAUUCGUGUGCUUCGGGGAAGCUUCGGGGAACAGAAAGGCUGGAGGUAUUCCCGAUAAGUGGCGACCUCUAACAGCAUAGGUUAAGACUAAUAAUGUUUUAUUUGAAGGCAAUUUCCUGUGCAAAUAUCCAAAAGGUACAUACUAGUUUUGGCCUCUGAUUUGAGGCGCCGGUGUGACGGAGGAAUAAGAGACAGGAGAUAAAUCAAAGACCAAAACCAGUGAUGGCUGAAUUUUCGAAAUGUUUUAUGUCAUGUAUCCAGUGAGGAAACCGUGACACCUGUGCAUAGAAAUGACAACACCCGCAAUUCAGGGUGUCUGUCAGCUUUGCUUUCUGGAAGAUGGCAGUUAUUUUCAUGGCAACAUUAUUACUCCCCACAAGGAACAAUAUGGAUUAGUGGGCAAGAUAUCCAGCACAGAACCAAGUGGCAGUGUGACAGAAUUUCACCGGUGCUGUAUGGGGGAUAACUCUGUAUUUUACCAAAUCCAAUUAAUUGAUCAUGGUGGAUUUGAUGAUGAUAGGAUAUUUCCCCAUGUUUUAAAGUCAAGUGGGGACAAUUGUACGUUAAGAGCUCCCGAUAUUAGGUUUGAGACAGAAGAACUGAUAGUCGGGAAAAAGGCAGAGGAUUUGAUUCGACAUUUUUUUAGUGAGACUUUUCUUGGAAAGAGUUGCUAUGUCUGCAUUGGCCCGAUUUUUAUAGCGUCUGGAGAAACAUUGGAAUGUACCAACCAGGAGUAUAUGCCAACGUAGAUGCUGGAAGUCUCUUUAAAAAAA